UGCCUUUAGGUCUAGGAUAGCCUCGGAAAAGCAAUGCCUAAAGAUGAGUCGGCGGUGGAUUAGGUAGUUGGUGGGGUAACGGCCCACCAAGCCAAAGAUCCAUACGGGCCCUGAGAGGGGGAACCCGGAGAAGGGCACUGAAAUACNGGCCCUAGCCCCACGGGGUGCAGCAGGCGCGAAAACUUUACAAUACACGAAAGCGCGAUUAGGGGACCCAAAGUGCUUAUACAAAGUAUAAGCUUUUGCCAAGAGCAAAUAUCUUGGAGAAUAAGUGGUGGGCAAGACUGGUGCCAGCCGCCGCGGUAACACCAGCGCCACAAGUGGGGGCCGCAUUUAUUUGGCCUAAAGCGUCCGUAGCAGGUUCUGUAAAUCUCUUGUGAAAUUGUGAGUCUCAAGCUUACAACGUGCAGGAGACACUGCAAAACUAGGGACCGGGAGAGGUUAGGAGUAUUCUUGGGGGAGCGGUAAAAUGUUAUAAUCCCAAGAAGACUACCAGUGGCGAAGGCGCCUAACCAGAACGGGUCUGACUGUGAGGGACGAAAGCCAGGGGAGCGAUCCGGAUUAGAUACCCGAGUAGUCCUGGCUGUAAACGCUGCGAGCUAGGUGUCGCAUAUUCUACGAGAAUAUGCGGUGUCGAAACGAAGGUGAUAAGCUCGCCGCGUGGGAAGUACGGUCGCAAGACUGAAACUUAA
RNAcentral lists this ribosomal RNA (692 nucleotides) under unidentified archaeon. RNAcentral's name for it is "bacterial SSU rRNA". It matches the Rfam family "Archaeal small subunit ribosomal RNA", at positions 110 to 859 of the family's 1478-position model. The record is from RNAcentral.